This 418-nucleotide ribosomal RNA is filed under the name uncultured bacterium. RNAcentral's name for it is "bacterial SSU rRNA". It matches the Rfam family "Bacterial small subunit ribosomal RNA", at positions 954 to 1369 of the family's 1533-position model. The record is from RNAcentral.
AUGGGAACGCGAAGAACCUUACCUAGACUUGACAUCUCCUGAAUAGUGUAGAGAUACAUGAAGCCCUUCGGGGCAGGAAGACAGGUGGUGCAUGGUUGUCGUCAGCUCGUGUCGUGAGAUGUUGGGUUAAGUCCCGCAACGAGCGCAACCCUUAUCAUUAGUUGCUACCAUUUAGUUGAGCACUCUAGUGAGACUGCCCGGGUUAACCGGGGAGGAAGGCGGGGAUGACGUACAAAUCAUCAUCGCCCCUUAUGUCGUAGGGCUACACACGUGCUACAAUGGUGAGAACAACGAGAUGCAAUACCGCGAGGUGGAGACAAAACUUACAAACUCAUCUCAGUUCGGAUUGUAGGCUAGAACUCGCCUACAUGAAGUUGAGUUGCUAAGUAAUCGCGAAUCAGAAUGUCGCGGUGAAUAC